RNAcentral lists this small nucleolar RNA (100 nucleotides) under Sordaria macrospora k-hell. Its description in RNAcentral is "A. fumigatus snoRNA Afu_335". It matches the Rfam family "A. fumigatus snoRNA Afu_335". Lineage: Eukaryota; Fungi; Ascomycota; Sordariomycetes; Sordariales; Sordariaceae. The record is from Rfam by way of RNAcentral.
CUUUAUGAUGAACCCCUGAUAGGGACAUCUUAUGCCAAUGUGGCAAAAGUGAUGUGAAUUUUGGGCUCGGUAUUUUAGUAGAUGCUUCGAGUUUCUGAUC